Malania oleifera is the source of this 1231-nucleotide long non-coding RNA. RefSeq lists it as uncharacterized. The record is from RefSeq and is a predicted model, not a curated record. Lineage: Eukaryota; Viridiplantae; Streptophyta; Magnoliopsida; Santalales; Ximeniaceae. The transcript has 2 exons.
GGAAAUCAUUUGAUAGGGUCAACUAGCGAAGAGAAAAGGGUGGAAAUUAUUGAACAAAGGAUGGCUCAGUUGUUAGUCAUUUUUAGGGAAAGUGACCUCGGUGAGGAUCCUAUUAUAAAGGCAUUAUAGCAAGAUAGCAUUGCCAGUCUGGAGAAAAGGGUCGAGGUUAUGGAAAAGACUUUGGAAGAGUUUUUAAAGGCCAUUAAAGGGAAGGAUCCUACUGACAACCUAGUCAGCCCUUUGGUCACUCACACAAUCCCAAUCCACCCACCCUCAUCAAGCCAGGAGCCAUCGUCUGCACACCAAGUCAAUCCUCUUUGUUCUCAGCCUGCUAUGGAGCAAACAUGCCAGGUUCCCUCAGCCUCCUUUAUAUAGACUUUAGUGCUUAAAAGAAAGGAAUGCAAGAUAGCCCAUGGUAUAUUCCACUAGGGCAAAUAACACUCCCAAGGUUCAGAAGUCUUGUCGAGAGUUCACUCCAUUGCCCAUCUCCUUAACAAAGCUCUUCAAAAAUCGGCCGCCUAAGGAAAAAUGGUACCUAUCCUUGUUGAAGGUCUGGCUCCACAUAAAGAGGUCUCUGAAUGUCCGAAUUUGUCUUCUUUCCUAGGCGAUUUUCUCGUUAAAUAGCAAACUUUAGCAUAUGCCAAAUAGAAUCGAUUAAGUCAAAAUUGGAGCAUUUUCAGCCUAAUCAAGCAACAACAAUCGCAGUGAAAUUGAGAUCUUCCAAGAUCUUGGUGCAGGCGAGGUGGAGGAGGAACCCAUUGAGGUACAAAAUGCCUUUGGAUCUCAUGACCUCUUUCUUGAUCUUAAAGAUCUCAUCGUUCGUAAAGGACUUGUGGAGGGAGACGAGAUGGGACAUGAUCUUGGAAGUGUUGGAGGCGAUGCUUCCGAAGGUCGCCAGCUUGUCCAACUAGAAAAUGCCAUUAGGACAAGGUGAAUAAAGCAUAUUCAACAUGUGGUUUCAAAGCCUAAGUUUGUGCAUGCAAGCUGUUUGACAGAAUUCCUCAGUGAAGUAUGGAGGUGAAUAUAAAUAGUGGUAAGGAGAUCAUGGAAGGGCAAAGAUGUUAUACUUGACUUUAUUCGGAGAACAUGGGUGAUGAUGCCAAUCUCAAAGAUGUGUUAGAUAAGAAAUGGAAAAUGUAUUCAAACAUAUCCUUAUUUUUUUAAAAAAAUUUAUUAAAUUUAUAUAUUUUAAUGUACUUCUAAAAAAAUAAAAUAUUUCAUUCCAUUAUCA